CACGUAGGGUGCGAGCGUUGUCCGGAAUUAUUGGGCGUAAAGAGCUCGUAGGCGGUGUGUCGCGUCGGCCGUGAAAACCUGCAGCUUAACUGUGGGCUUGCGGUCGAUACGGGCAUCACUAGAGUUCGGCAGGGGAGACUGGAAUUCCUGGUGUAGCGGUGAAAUGCGCAGAUAUCAGGAGGAACACCGGUGGCGAAGGCGGUUCUCUGGGCAUUACCUGACGCUGAGGAGCGAAAGCAUGGGGAGCGAACAGG
RNAcentral lists this ribosomal RNA (254 nucleotides) under uncultured bacterium. RNAcentral describes it as "partial 16S ribosomal RNA". It matches the Rfam family "Bacterial small subunit ribosomal RNA", at positions 524 to 776 of the family's 1533-position model. The record is from RNAcentral.